GACGAACGCUGGCGGCGUGCCUAAUACAUGCAAGUUGAGCGCUGAAGGUUGGUACUUGUACCAACUGGAUGAGCAGCGAACGGGUGAGUAACGCGUGGGGAAUCUGCCUUUGAGCGGGGGACAACAUUUGGAAACGAAUGCUAAUACCGCAUAAAAACUUUAAACACAAGUUUUAAGUUUGAAAGAUGCAAUUGCAUCACUCAAAGAUGAUCCCGCGUUGUAUUAGCUAGUUGGUGAGGUAAAGGCUCACCAAGGCGAUGAUACAUAGCCGACCUGAGAGGGUGAUCGGCCACAUUGGGACUGAGACACGGCCCAAACUCCUACGGGAGGCAGCAGUAGGGAAGCUUCGGCAAUGGACGAAAGUCUGACCGAGCAACGCCGCGUGAGUGAAGAAGGUUUUCGGAUCGUAAAACUCUGUUGGUAGAGAAGAACGUUGGUGAGAGUGGAAAGCUCAUCAAGUGACGGUAACUACCCAGAAAGGGACGGCUAACUACGUG
RNAcentral lists this ribosomal RNA (497 nucleotides) under uncultured bacterium. RNAcentral's name for it is "partial 16S ribosomal RNA". It matches the Rfam family "Bacterial small subunit ribosomal RNA", at positions 28 to 507 of the family's 1533-position model. The record is from RNAcentral.